UUAAUUGAAACCAAAAUAGAGGUUUAUCACUGUUAAUGAUAUUAAUGGGCCAAAAUCCCCAAUUAAA
This 67-nucleotide transfer RNA is filed under the name Apriona swainsoni. Its description in RNAcentral is "tRNA-Asn". The record is from RNAcentral. Lineage: Eukaryota; Metazoa; Arthropoda; Insecta; Coleoptera; Cerambycidae. RNAcentral also lists the same sequence under 1 other name.